Molecule: non-coding RNA, 246 nt
Organism: Pelobates cultripes (western spadefoot toad)
Lineage: Eukaryota; Metazoa; Chordata; Amphibia; Anura; Pelobatidae
Source: the annotation of a GenBank genome assembly
CACGUCUCUACAUUGUAGGACAAUAUUCAUCGGAUUAGACAAGGCAGACAAGAAAGACUUGCCAUUUGGGUUUGCCAGACUGCCAAUCACUUAACACCGUAUGCCUCUGCUUUUAUCACCCAGCCAUUGUGAGGACACAGGUUUUAGAAGAGACAGCACCAGAUGACAAUGUAAAAAAGGGGGGUUACGCUAUUAAACCAAAGUGUGGGUCACAGAACACAAACCGGUCUUUUAUAUGGAUAUACG